CAGGUUCUCGUCUGCCUUGAUUUUCACACGCUGUCACCAUUGUUGUACUUGGCGCAGUACAACUACCGUUGGUGAGCACCAUUCAUUCUGGUCUUAUUUAUAUCUUGCCAUCACGUUAUCACACUACGGAGCGCUUUCUUUUGUUUUAGUUGGUGCUACAAAGAAGUCCUAGACUAAAACGUGGCGUAAUAUCCAAUAUUCUCUAUUUUAUUAUUCUAGUCAUCCAGUUGUUGUUAUCAUGGGCACAAAAUGAGAUCCCUGCUUUGAACUAAAGUACUUUUUCACUCCGUAAACCAAAAUCUGAGAUUUCCAUCACUGUCAUCUUGGAGAGAGACACAAUAAUAGCGUCGUGUCACAAACAAACCACCGAAGCCGUGUCUUCAGCAGCCUCAACUGGAUGAAUGCACACUGGGAUUGUUACUCUCUUUAAAUAAGGAUUCUUCAAGCCUAUCAACAACAAAAAGAUGUAAUGGUGUUCUGGAGAAUCCGGCACAGAUGUUAGUAUUCCCAGCAACCCGCAUGGAGAUUUACUGCAGUCCCAUACCUCUGUUCAGCAAAUCCUUAGGAGCCUACUAAUCUAACAGCUGGCAUUUCAUCCAGCUACAACGGCCGCCUAUGUAUACAAAGCACACAUCUACAACAACAGUCCUGCUUGGCAGGCAACACAAUGCUCGCCGCCUUAAAGGAGAAGGUGUGGACACUUAUCAAGAUCCUGCACCAUCCCCAUCAGGCAAUCACGGAGCCUCUAUUAUUCUCUGAUCCUGCUCUGUGAUUGGCCAGUAGCUGAUUCUGAAGAGUCUAUGCACCUGAGCCCUCUGCAGCCAUGUCCCAGGAUGGUGCAGUAAGAGAAUGGAGGAAAUCGUACAGAUAAAGUGUAUCCAGCAGCCUCAUACACAGGGAAGUACCCACACAUCCUAUGACUGGCCACAGUGGUGACCCACCUUAUUGAAAGAUGUUUCUUUAAAAAGGUGAAGUAUCAAUAAAGAAUUGUUACAAAGCGAUUAAACUUCAAAAGGACAAUGAGGCAUAAACUCUACUGUAAAGAGUGACACAUCUAUACCACAAUUUCCCAGUGCAUGUAGUGUGGGCUCGUACAAGUAGACUAUGAAUAUUUUUAGAACAAACACUUAAACCUUCGCAUUAACAUGCAAACGCUGAUGGGCCAAAUAUGCUAUUUAUUUUAGUAAGGGAAUAAGAAUAAUCCAGAUAUUUUUGACAGCUUUUUUGGCAGUUUACCAUCCUGAGGAGCACAGGAUCAGACAUGUUAAAACACAACAAUCCCAAUGUUUUUUAUCCCCAUCAGAAAAUAUUAUGGGUCACACCUAUACACUAGCUUGUGCAAGAAUUCCAAUUUACUGACUAUAUCUAGUGCAUAUGGCCAUCUUCUUGGAAAAAUAUGUACAUGGUAAUCAUUACCAAAUUUAGGAUAAUAGAUUCCCUUUCCCAGAUUCUCCCUCUUCUAAUGUAAAAAUUUUUUUUUUACAGAAAAGAAUAUCGGUUUUGAAGUGUUUACAUAUAUUUGAAGGGACCUCAUAGAUCAAAAUGUUUCCGUCCCAGUUAAAAUGCUAUGGAGAACCAUAUACAGAUUCUUACUGCCCAGCAGCAAAGAGACCAAACAGGGCUUGGCCCUUUCUCUCCAAGGGCCCCAUAGAAGCCACAUCAUCUGACUUUAUUGUAUGUAUGUAUGUACUAGUCUACUGGUGGGUCCAUUUUCUCCAGCAUAUUUUUGUAGGACUGUUUGCUUCUGACGCAAAGUCUAACAGAUUAGCAGAUGAGUGUUUUGUGCCUUUUUCCCUUAUUGAAUUUAGCUGAUAAUGUCUUUAAUGUAUUUUCAUAUAAUAAUCCCCUUUAAAGCAUGACAACUUAGUGACUGAUUGAGUAGUAUGUAUCAGAAAGAGAUUGUACAUAUGAUUAAUAACUUAGUUUGUUGUUGUUGCUAAACAAGCUAAUUCAGUUUACAUAGAUGAAAUACAUGAAAGUGAUAACUAUUUACUAUUGUUAUAAAAAUGUUAGUCUGUAAAAAGCCUUUGUAUUUAAUGUAUAGUGCAGAUUGUCUCUAUCUUUUCCUAGAACCCAGAAGCUGUGCAUCAUUUUUACUGAUAUACUUAGCCUGGAUUUGUGGGAAUCCAUUACAAUAACCCCUGGGC
Long non-coding RNA from Hyla sarda, 2147 nucleotides. RefSeq lists it as uncharacterized. NCBI's taxonomy places the organism in Eukaryota, Metazoa, Chordata, Amphibia, Anura, Hylidae. The record is from RefSeq and is a predicted model, not a curated record. The transcript is spliced from 3 exons.